CUCAGAUUAAUAAACAAAAGGCAGAUGGAGCGCACCGAACAUGCGAGUGAAGCCACCAAAGCGAAUACAAAAUCAAAAGCGAAUACAAAGUCGCAGCAGUGCUAAAGAUAGCGUCGUAUUGUUUAAACGUCUCGAGUGAUUCAUUAUUUUGUGUCAAAAAAUGCCGUCUUGUGUUAUUAAACAUUGUGAAAGUUGUUCCCAAAAAUAAAAAAAGAGGAUGGAAUUUCAUUUUACAGAUUGCCGACAGAUGUUGUUCUACGCGAGGAAUGGGUUUCUAUUAUUCGCCAAAGCAGGCAAGACAAUAAUUGGCAGGCUUCAAAAUUUUGCGUUGUGUGUUCAUUACAUUUUAAAGAGGAUGGCUUAUGCUUUACCGAAAAAUGUCGUAGGUUGAUAAAAAAAAUUCCAAUGUAAUUAUUUGUAAUACUAUCUAAUCUUUUGGUCUAGUCUUUAAGUUGUCUGUAUAUCGAUGUAUGUGUGUGUGUGAAUAAAUGAUGAUGAUGAUGAUUAUUAUUAUUAUUAAUAAAUAUUUUAAAUUAUGUAUGUUUUUUUUU
Molecule: unclassified non-coding RNA, 551 nt
Filed under: Melitaea cinxia (Glanville fritillary)
Lineage: Eukaryota; Metazoa; Arthropoda; Insecta; Lepidoptera; Nymphalidae
Description: misc RNA ENSMCXG00005005956.1
Source: RNAcentral